CUAACAUGCACGAGUCAGGGGCUCGCAUGAAAGCCACCCGUGGUGCAAUGAAGGUGAAGGCCCGCACCCGCCGAUGGAGGUGGGAUUCGGAGGCCUCAGUCCUUCUUCCUGGCCUGCCGAGGGCGCACCACACGGGAGGGGGAGCAUAAGCGUGUGUGUUAGGACCCGAAAAAUGGUGAACUAUGCCUGGGUAGGGCGAAGCCAGAGGAAACUCUUGUGGAGGUCUGUAGCGGUACAGACGUGCAAAUAGAUCCUCCGACCUGGGUAUAGGGGCGAAAGACUAAUCGAACCAUCUAGUAGCUGG
RNAcentral lists this non-coding RNA (304 nucleotides) under Monodelphis domestica (gray short-tailed opossum). RNAcentral's name for it is "Eukaryotic large subunit ribosomal RNA". It matches the Rfam family "Eukaryotic large subunit ribosomal RNA", at positions 675 to 954 of the family's 3401-position model. The record is from Rfam by way of RNAcentral. Lineage: Eukaryota; Metazoa; Chordata; Mammalia; Didelphimorphia; Didelphidae.